This 3783-nucleotide unclassified non-coding RNA is filed under the name Hevea brasiliensis (rubber tree). Lineage: Eukaryota; Viridiplantae; Streptophyta; Magnoliopsida; Malpighiales; Euphorbiaceae. The record is from RNAcentral.
AUUAAGCUAAUCACACACUGUAAUUAGUAAUUACCAUACUCCAUCAUUUCAUUUACCAAAAUGGAGGGGAUAAGUGAGAAUUUCCUGUAAAUCAAACCAAGUGGCUGAUAAAAGCAAAAGUUGGGAGAGUAACGUCUAAAAGCUCAGCACCAGGCACGCUCUGCUGCAUUUACCAUUUGCCCAGUUACCUCCUCUUCCGUUCCAAAAAUCUUGCACCCCAAGAUCUCUCCACGUGUCCACGCUGGUUCUACGUGUCUUUACUGAUGUGUCCACGCUCCUCUUUUUGACUUUUAAAACCCACCUGGCCUCGCCCUUCCCACUCCAUUUCAUUUCAAUUACACCACACCAUACCACUUUCUCUCAUUACUCUGCAGCCUCACUCUCUGUUUUCUUUCCUUUCUAAAACUUUGCUUUAUAUAAUCGGAGCUCAGUGAUCAACCAUCCUAAAAUGUCGGAAACUUGCACAAGGAAGCUUAUCGUUGAAGUCUGCAAUGCAAAGAAUCUGAUGCCGAAAGAUGGCCAAGGCACAGCCAGUGCUUAUGCUAUUGUAGACUUUGACGGACAGCGGCGGAGGACCAAGACCAAGUUCAGAGAUCUGAAUCCAGAGUGGGAUGAAAAGCUUGAAUUUCUAGUCCAUGACACUGACUCCAUGCCCUCCGAGAUCUUAGAGAUCAAUCUUUAUAAUGAUAAGAAGACUGGAAAACGAAGUACUUUUCUUGGUAAAGUAAAGAUCGCUGGGAGUGGAUUUGUUAAAGCUGGAUCGGAAACUCUGGUUUACUAUCCGUUGGAGAAAAGAAGCGUGUUUUCACAGAUUAAAGGAGAAAUUGGGUUGAAAGUUUAUUAUAUUGAUGAGGAUCCACCGGCAGCCCCAGCGGAGCAAAAGCCAGAAGCAACAGCUCCGGCUGCAGCGGAGGAGAAGCCACCUGAGGAUGCUGCAAAACCAGAAGGGGAGAAGAAGGAAGAGAAAGCUGAAGAGAAUAAAGAGGAGAAAAAGGAAGAGCCAAAGUCAGAGCCGUCUACUGAAGCUAAAAAAGAGGGUGAGAAGCCAAAUCCACCGCAGGAGGAAAAAGAAUCAAAAAAACCUGAGGAAGCUUCCCCAGCGCCUCCAGCAGCAGCUGUUGAGGUGGAUAAUCCACCAUUGGCCCACAGUGAGGAAAAGACAUCAAAGCAGCAAAAGGAUAAGCCAACAGACACCGGAAAAAGUUCCGAUUUCACAAUCAACGACCUUGAACUCCGGUCAUUAGCUAGCGAUCGCAGCCGCAGUGCAUACGAUCUGGUAGAUCGCAUGGCAUUUCUAUAUGUCCGCGUUGUAAAGGCCAAAAGAGCAAGCUCUGAAUCUAGUCCUGCAAUGUAUGCAAAGCUUGCGAUCGGUACACACAGCAUCAAAACAAAGAGCCAGAAUGACAAAGAUUGGGACCAAGUUUUUGCGUUUGACAAGGAGGGACUGAACUCAACUUCUCUGGAGGUUUCAGUGUGGGCAGAGGAGAAGAAAGAGAACGAGGAGAAAACAGAGAGUUGUUUGGGUACGGUAUCGUUCGAUUUGCAGGAGGUACCAAAGAGAGUACCACCCGAUAGUCCUCUGGCUCCUCAAUGGUACAGUUUGGAAUCAGAGAAGUCGCUGGGAAAUGACGUCAUGCUGGCCGUUUGGGUCGGGACUCAGGCCGAUGAGGCAUUUCAGGAGGCUUGGCAGUCGGACUCGGGCGGGCUGAUACCCGAGACACGAGCCAAGGUGUACUUGUCACCAAAGCUUUGGUAUUUGAGAUUAACGGUAAUCCAAACCCAGGAUUUGCAGCCAGCUUUGGCUUCCGAACCUAAGGCUAGGAGUCCAGAGCUGUAUGUUAAGGCUCAGCUUGGCGCACAGGUUUUCAAAACGGGAAGGACUUCAGUUGGGUCUUCCUCCUCUAGCUCGGCUAAUCCCACUUGGAACGAGGAUUUAGUUUUUGUGGCGGCUGAGCCGUUUGAACCGUUUUUAGUGGUGACAAUGGAAGAUGUGACCAAUGGGCAGUCUGUGGGCCAUGCUAAAAUACCUAUGGCAGGCAUAGAGCGGCGGACGGAUGAUCGUACGGAGCCAAAAUCAAGAUGGUUCAAUUUGAUUGGCGAUGAGAACAGGCCGUACACGGGGAGGAUACACGUGAGAGUAUGUUUGGAGGGUGGCUAUCACGUGCUAGAUGAGGCAGCACAUGUUACUAGCGAUGUUAGAGCUGCAGCAAAGCAAUUAGCCAAAGCUCCCAUAGGGCUAUUAGAGGUUGGGAUCCGAGGGGCCACGAAUCUGCUUCCGGUGAAAACCAAGGAUGGUACACGUGGGACUACUGACGCUUAUGUUGUGGCUAAGUAUGGGCCCAAGUGGGUUCGGACCCGCACGAUCCUUGAUCGAUUUAAUCCACGGUGGAAUGAGCAGUACACAUGGGACGUAUAUGAUCCAUGCACUGUGCUUACUAUUGGCGUGUUUGACAAUGGAAGGUAUAAGCGGGAUGAGCCAGGAAAAGAUAUCAGAGUUGGGAAAAUACGUAUACGCUUAUCAACGCUUGAUACAAAUCGGGUGUACCUAAAUUCUAAUUCGCUUACCGUUUUGUUACCCGGUGGGGCCAAGAAAAUGGGAGAGAUUGAGAUAGCCGUUAGAUUUUCAUGCUCAUCAUGGCUCAGUUUAAUGCAAGCGUACGCAACUCCAAUGCUUCCCAGAAUGCACUAUGUGCGCCCUUUGGGUCCUGCUCAACAAGACAUAUUGCGCCACACGGCUAUGCGUAUAGUCACGGCUCGGCUAGCCAGGUCUGAGCCGCCAUUAGGUCAAGAAGUGGUUCAGUUUAUGCUGGAUAGCGACACCCACAUGUGGAGCAUGAGGAGAAGCAAGGCAAACUGGUUCAGAGUGGUUGGGUGCCUCACACAUGCGGCUACUUUGGCGCGUUGGUUGGAUGGGAUUCGCACGUGGGUACACCCACCCACCACUAUUCUAGUCCAUGUGUUACUUGUGGCUGUCGUUUUAUGUCCACAUCUACUGCUCCCCACCGUAUUCAUGUACGCCUUCUUGAUUUUAGCACUGAGGUUUCGAUAUCGCCCAAGGGUCCCACACAACAUGGACCCAAGGCUUUCCUAUGUGGAUGCUGUGGGCCAGGAUGAGCUCGAUGAAGAGUUUGAUGGAUUUCCUACCACACGAUCAUCUGACGUGGUUCGUAUUCGAUACGAUAGGCUGCGGGCUUUAUCUGGGCGGGCACAGACACUUUUAGGUGAUUUGGCAGCCCAAGGAGAGCGUUUAGAGGCGUUGUGUAGUUGGAGGGAUCCAAGGGCUACUGGGAUUUUUAUGGUGUUUUGCUUGCUAGCUUCGUUGGUAUUUUACGCGGUGCCGUUUAAGGUUUUUGUGCUAGGGUCAGGGUUCUACUAUCUCCGCCACCCAAGGUUCCGUGACGACAUGCCGUCUAUUCCUGUCAACUUUUUCCGGCGACUACCGUCGCUAUCAGAUCAAAUUCUGUAGACUGUAGUGAGUGCACUACAGGUAGCCGUUUUGAUUUCUGUAAUAAGAUCAUAAAUUAUUGUUUUAUUGAUUAUUUGGAUUUGAGCUUUUAAAGUUGAUAAAAAGUUUUGUGUUGUUACAUGCAUAAAGCAGAAAAAGUGACCGUUAUAUUGUUUAUGGGGGGCGGUGGAGCAUUCAAGGGACAAAAGUUAAUGAAAGGAUUUGUUGUAGAUAUUUAGGUAAGGUGACCGUUAGAUGAAAAGUGUACUCCACAGACAUGUAGGAAGAGAUGAAAAGUGUACUUCCCAAAUAUGUAGGAAGAACUAGAAGAACCAUAA